This 250-nucleotide ribosomal RNA is filed under the name uncultured prokaryote. RNAcentral describes it as "partial 16S ribosomal RNA". It matches the Rfam family "Bacterial small subunit ribosomal RNA", at positions 524 to 773 of the family's 1533-position model. The record is from RNAcentral.
UACGUAGGGGGCAAGCGUUAUCCGGAUUUACUGGGUGUAAAGGGAGCGUAGACGGCGCGGCAAGUCCGAAGUGAAAGGCGGGGGCCCAACCCCCGGACUGCUUUGGAAACUGUCAUGCUUGAGUGCGGGAGGGGCAGGCGGAAUUCCUAGUGUAGCGGUGAAAUGCGUAGAUAUUAGGAGGAACACCGGCGGCGAAGGCGGCCUGCUGGACCGUAACUGACGUUGAGGCUCGAAGGCGUGGGGAGCAAAC